Molecule: ribosomal RNA, 254 nt
Filed under: uncultured bacterium
Lineage: Bacteria
Description: partial 16S ribosomal RNA
Rfam family: Bacterial small subunit ribosomal RNA
Source: RNAcentral
UACGUAGGGUGCAAGCGUUGUCCGGAAUUAUUGGGCGUAAAGAGCUCGUAGGCGGUCUGUCGCGUCUGCUGUGAAAACUCAGGGCUUAACCCUGAGCUUGCAGUGGGUACGGGCAGACUAGAGUGCGGUAGGGGAGACUGGAAUUCCUGGUGUAGCGGUGAAAUGCGCAGAUAUCAGGAGGAACACCGGUGGCGAAGGCGGGUCUCUGGGCCGUAACUGACGCUGGAGGAGCGAAAGCAUGGGGAGCGAACAGG